Molecule: long non-coding RNA, 949 nt
Filed under: Olea europaea subsp. europaea
Lineage: Eukaryota; Viridiplantae; Streptophyta; Magnoliopsida; Lamiales; Oleaceae
Source: RNAcentral
CUCACGUUUCUCUUUCUUCUCUCUCUUUCAUAGAAAAUUGCUUUGAAUAGAAAUAGCUAGAGUUUGUUCCUUUGGUGUUCUUGUUGUGUGUUUUUUGUUUAAUUUCUUGCUGUUGUGCAUAUAUUUUCGUGUUCUUACUAUUUUCUGUUGUCAGUUUGAAGCUCCAAUUCCUCAAAGUGCAAAAUAGCUCCAAUUCCUCAAAGUGCAAAAUGGAGGGUGGUCUCCCAGUCACUUCUUCACUGACAAAGAACGGAUUCUCUUAAAGCUGGCAGAUCAGAGAUCGUGAGUUUUAUUUUUGGGCUCUUGGAAGGCAAGGCACAUACUGAAAGAUAGGAGUGUUUUAAAAGGUAAGGCGUAACAUGGAUUGACUCACUAUGCACUUUGACAGUCUAGUUAGAGAGGUGCUCGGACUCUGAUCAGUUGGGAUACAUCCCGUGAUUUAACUGAUUUGUGUGAAGAGCGAUCAAAUCACAAACUCAAGGAACAGUCGUCGAAGGUGGACACCUUGAUAAAAAAAAUAAAAAAAAAAUGGAGGGCGGCGGUGCUACUAGCGAUGCGCAAGGGACUGCUUGUCGAUGUGUACGGUGCGGGUCGUGCUUUUACAGUGUACGAUUCUCUUUUCUUAUCUAACUUUGUUCACUUUUAUACCGCAGCUGUACUGGUAGAGGCUAAACGGAUUAUUUCCCUCUACAACCAUGUUCUUUAUGCAACAAUCAUGGAUGUGGAGCAGUGCAAAGCUUGCUAUUACUAAAGUUCAUAGGGACAUAAUUAACCGUGUAUGUUGGCUUCUUGAAUUUUUGCUCCUUUUUUCAUGUGUUGAGAUUCUAGAAUUUCAGAGAACAAUUCAAGUUUGUGUGAUGGUUUUGCCAUAUAUGAUGCGUGUAUCUAUGAUCCCUAUUCUAGUAUUCUUAGAGGUUGUUUGGGAGUGAUUUUGAGAAUUGAUUUUUUG